AAAGAGAAUAUAUUAUCCAGAAUUUUGAGAGCCAACAAAAUCAAUUCACAAAACAAAAUAUCACCAAAAACAAUGUUAAAAAGGAGCUUCAAAUAUGAUUAUUCCAUUACAAUAAUUUCUUUUCCAUGAUUAAUUAAUCACAAAUUUAUUUUUCUUUUUAAUUUUUAUUCAAUCAUCAGUAUUUUUUGGACCGUACCUCUCAACUCUCUCAUCAAUCCACUCUCUCAUGUCUUUCAACACAAGAUUAGCAUUCUCAUCUGGCUCUCCUUGUAUCAAAGAAUGGUACAUUCCCUCAUACAACUUCAAGCUCUUAUCCUCACUUGAAGCCUUCUCAUACAACAACUGGGAUGAUGUAGGGCACGUGACACCAUCCGAGGUGCCAUGGACUGUCAAAAACGGCGCCGUAACUCUGGAGAAAUUAUCUUGUAUAUGUUGGCACACCCUAGCAAGUUCUCUCAUGGUCCCCACCCUAGGCUUGCCUGUGUAUCUUCUAGGGUUUGAUGCUAUGAUCUUCAGCUUUUCUGGGUCCUUGAUCGCUUUCCCUACCAUUUUAUUGUCUGGCAUCGCUGCCCACGUGUCAGCCCAUCCAAAGAGUAGCCCAUACAUGAAUAGGUGUAACUUACUGGGUUUCAUUGGUUCUGGGAUGACAAAAAGUGGGGCCGAGAAAAUCAAGCCCGUCCACGUGUUGGGUUCCGAUUGGAAGUACAUUAGCAUUGUGGCGGCCCCACCCAUCGACUCCCCAAACAAAAAUGCUGGUAAAUCCUUGUAUGAUUCGCUGUAGCGAACAUGCUUGAAGAAUGAUAAGGACGUUGCUGCGAUUUUCUCCAAAUCACCCAUAUAACAGCGUAGACCGUCAGAUCUGCCAUGCCCAAGAAGAUCAGCGGCAAAGACAGCAUAACCCCAGGUUGUAAAGUUGAUGCAGAUCUUUUGAAACAACCAACCAGUGUCAGAUCCAUAGCCGUGAGUCAUGUAAACCGAGCCUUUGACUUUCUGAUCCAACGGUAGGAAACUCUGCGUGAAGAGCUUCCCAUUGGGCGUCUCAAAGUAUGAUUUUGUAUUGGUGACUCCUUGUGAUGCAUAGUACUCCUCCUCCGGCAUGUGUCCCCAGAAGUUCGGUGGCGUUUCCGGGGACUCCAUGGUUUUUGCUUUUCUUUGGUUCCUGGAAAACUAGGUUUUGAUAGAGAGAGAGAGAGAGAAAAGUGUUUUGUGGGAAUCGGAUGGGGUAGAUUUUUAAAGGUGGAGACACAAGCGUUGAAGAGAAAGAAAAUUCAUUUUGAAGAGAGAAGAAAUAUAGAGUUUUACCAACUUUGAUGUG
This 1315-nucleotide unclassified non-coding RNA is filed under the name Hevea brasiliensis (rubber tree). The record is from RNAcentral. Lineage: Eukaryota; Viridiplantae; Streptophyta; Magnoliopsida; Malpighiales; Euphorbiaceae.